AGUGAACGCUGGCGGUAGGCCUAACACAUGCAAGUCGAACGGCAGCACAGUAAGAGCUUGCUCUUACGGGUGGCGAGUGGCGGACGGGUGAGGAAUAUAUCGGAAUCUACUUUUUCGUGGGGGAUAACGUAGGGAAAGUUACGCUAAUACCGCAUACGACCUACGGGUGAAAGGAGGGGAUCGUCGCACCUGGCGGGGUUGGAUGAGCGGAUGUCGGUUUAGUUGGUUGGCGGGGUAAAGGCCUACCAAGGCGGCGAUCCGUGGCUGGUCUGAGUGGAUGGUCACCCACCCUGGAGCUGAGCCAGGGUCCAUGGUGCUACGGUAGGCAGCAGUGGGGAACGGUGGACAAUAGUAGCAAGCCUGAUCCAGUCGGACCACGUGGGUGGAGGAGACCUUCGGGUUGUAAAGCCCUUUUGUUGGGAAAGAAAAGCUGCCGCUUAUUACCCCGCGGUUCUGACGGUACCGAGAGAAUAAGCACCGGCUAACUUCGUG
Molecule: ribosomal RNA, 492 nt
Filed under: uncultured bacterium
Lineage: Bacteria
Description: partial 16S ribosomal RNA
Rfam family: Bacterial small subunit ribosomal RNA
Source: RNAcentral